Molecule: microRNA precursor, 145 nt
Filed under: Gossypium hirsutum (cotton)
Lineage: Eukaryota; Viridiplantae; Streptophyta; Magnoliopsida; Malvales; Malvaceae
Also listed under: 1 other name
Description: MIR7502 microRNA precursor family
Rfam family: MIR7502 microRNA precursor family
Source: Rfam by way of RNAcentral
UGUUAAAAAUUUUAACUAUUUUUAUUAUUAAAAAUUGGAGUAAUUAACGGAAUAAUUAAAUAGUUACACGCGGCAUGCCACAUGUACCUCAUAUUGACAUAUAGAGACUAUUUUUUAACCAUAAAAAUGAAUGAUAUUUUUAACA